RNAcentral lists this ribosomal RNA (290 nucleotides) under uncultured bacterium. RNAcentral's name for it is "partial 16S ribosomal RNA". It matches the Rfam family "Bacterial small subunit ribosomal RNA", at positions 333 to 638 of the family's 1533-position model. The record is from RNAcentral.
GUUCUCCUACGGGGGGCAGCAGUGGGGAAUAUUGGGCAAUGGGCGCAAGCCUGACCCAGCAAUGCCGCGUGAAGGGAGAAGGCCCUCGGGUUGUAAACUUCUUUUAUCAGGGACGAAGGAUGUGACGGUACCUGAUGAAUAAGCUCCGGCUAACUACGUGCCAGCAGCCGCGGUAAUACGUAGGGAGCGAGCGUUGUCCGGAAUUACUGGGUGUAAAGGGAGCGUAGGCGGGGAUGCAAGUUGGGUGUCAAAACUACCGGCUCAACUGGUAGUCGCACUCAAAACUGCAA